Molecule: ribosomal RNA, 253 nt
Filed under: uncultured bacterium
Lineage: Bacteria
Description: partial 16S ribosomal RNA
Rfam family: Bacterial small subunit ribosomal RNA
Source: RNAcentral
UACGUAGGGGGCUAGCGUUGUCCGGAAUCAUUGGGCGUAAAGAGCGUGUAGGCGGCCUGAUAAGUCGGCUGUGAAAGUCAAGGGCUCAACCCUUGAAUGCCGGCCGAUACUGUCAGGCUAGAGUCCGGAAGAGGCGAGUGGAAUUCCUGGUGUAGCGGUGAAAUGCGCAGAUAUCAGGAGGAACACCUAUGGCGAAGGCAGCUCGCUGGGACGGUACUGACGCUGAGACGCGAAAGCGUGGGGAGCGAACAGG